This 295-nucleotide long non-coding RNA is filed under the name Brassica napus (rape). Its description in RNAcentral is "long non-coding RNA (BNAP_LNC001035)". The record is from RNAcentral. Lineage: Eukaryota; Viridiplantae; Streptophyta; Magnoliopsida; Brassicales; Brassicaceae.
UUUGAGGUGAAUUUGAAUAUCACACGCUGUAUUUAACAAAGAAAAAAGGAAUAAUUCAAGAAUUUCAGUUUUAUGUGAGUAGCUAUGUGAACAGAAACCUAGCUAGGUAGAACUGCUAGAUGUAAAAAAAAUCGCCAACAUGAUAUUAUAUUAUUUUUACUUGGUUGACAAUUUGCAUAUAUGAAUACAAUUCAUACGUGGCUAUGUUAAUAGGUAUUCAUUGUAUAAAACAUUUUAUUCGUUGUAAAGUACGAUGGAGACAAGCGAAGCAAGUAAAACGUAACGUGCAUGCAUC